GACCUCGGAUCAGGUAGGAAUACCCGCUGAACUUAAGCAUACUAA
Molecule: ribosomal RNA, 45 nt
Filed under: Trichoderma harzianum
Lineage: Eukaryota; Fungi; Ascomycota; Sordariomycetes; Hypocreales; Hypocreaceae
Description: partial 28S ribosomal RNA
Source: RNAcentral